CUCUCCCAUAUGGUCGACCUGCAGGCGGCCGCGAAUUCACUAGUGAUUAGAGUUUGAUCCUGGCUCAGAGCGAACGCUGGCGGCAGGCUUAACACAUGCAAGUCGAGCGGGCGUASAAUACGUCAGCGGCAGACGGGUGAGUAACGCGUGGGAACGUACCUUUUGGGGSGGAACAACCCAGGGAAACUUGGCUAAUACCGGAUAAACCCUUACGGGGAAAGAUUUAUCGCCGAAAGAUCGGCCCGCGUCUGAUUAGCUAGUUGGUGAGGUAAUGGCUCACCAAGGCGACGAUCAGUAGCUGGUCUGAGAGGAUGAUCAGCCACAUUGGGACUGAGACACGGCCCAAACUCCUACGGGAGGCAGCAGUGGGGAAUAUUGGACAAUGGGCGCAAGCCUGAUCCAGCCAUGCCGCGUGAGUGAUGAAGGCCCUAGGGUUGUAAAGCUCUUUUGUGCGGGAAGAUAAUGACGGUACCGCAAGAAUAAGCCCCGGCUAACUUCGUGCCAGCAGCCGCGGUAAUACGAAGGGGGCUAGCGUUGCUCGGAAUCACUGGGCGUAAAGGGUGCGUAGGCGGGUCUUUAAGUCAGGGGUGAAAUCCUGGAGCUCAACUCCAGAACUGCCUUUGAUACUGAAGAUCUUGAGUUCGGGMCCCGUGAGUGGAACUGCGAGUGUAGAGGUGAAAUUCGUAGAUAUUCGCAAGAACACCAGUGGCGAAGGCGGCUCACUGGCCCGAUACUGACGCUGAGGCACGAAAGCGUGGGGAGCAAACAGGAUUAGAUACCCUGGUAGUCAAUCGAAUUC
This 799-nucleotide ribosomal RNA is filed under the name uncultured bacterium. Its description in RNAcentral is "bacterial SSU rRNA". The record is from RNAcentral.